AUUGAACGCUGGCGGCAGGCCUAACACAUGCAAGUCGAGCGGAUGAAGGGAGCUUGCUCCUGGUUUCAGCGGCGGACGGGUGUGUAAUGCCUAUGAAUCUGCUUGGUUUUGGUGGAUAACGUCUUCAAACGGGUGCUAAUACCGCAUACGUCCUGAGGGUGCAAGUUGGGGAUCUUCGGACCUCACGCUCUCAGAUGAGUCUAGGUCGGAUUAGCUAGUUGGUCGGGUAAAGGCCUACCAAGGCGACGAUCCGUAACUGGUCUGAGAGGAUGAUAAGUCACACUGGAACUGGGACGCGGUCCAGACUCCUAAGGGAGGCAGCAGUGGGGAAUAUUGGACAAUGGGCGAGAGCCUGAUCCAGCCAUGCCGCGUGUGUGAAAGAGGUCUUCGGAUUGUAAAGCACUUUAAGGUGGGAGGAAGGGCAGUAAGUUAAUACCUUGCUGUUUUGACGUUAACAACAGAAGAAGCACCGGCUAACUUCGUG
Molecule: ribosomal RNA, 484 nt
Filed under: uncultured bacterium
Lineage: Bacteria
Description: partial 16S ribosomal RNA
Rfam family: Bacterial small subunit ribosomal RNA
Source: RNAcentral